GACGAGUUUGAUCAUGGCUCAGAACGAACGCUGGCGGCAGGCCUAACACAUGCAAGUCGAGCGAGGACUUCGGUCCUAGCGGCGGACGGGUGAGUAACGCGUGGGAACGUGCCCUUUGGUACGGAAUAGCCCCGGGAAACUGGGAGUAAUACCGUAUGGUGUCUUCGGACUAAAGAUUUAUCGCCAAAGGAUCGGCCCGCGUUGGAUUAGGUAGUUGGUGGGGUAAUGGCCUACCAAGCCGACGAUCCAUAGCUGGUUUGAGAGGAUGAUCAGCCACACUGGGACUGAGACACGGCCCAGACUCCUACGGGAGGCAGCAGUGGGGAAUCUUAGACAAUGGGGGGCAACCCUGAUCUAGCCAUGCCGCGUGAGUGAUGAAGGCCCUAGGGUUGUAAAGCUCUUUCAGCUGGGAAGAUAAUGACGGUACCAGCAGAAGAAGCCCCGGCUAACUCCGUG
Molecule: ribosomal RNA, 456 nt
Filed under: uncultured bacterium
Lineage: Bacteria
Description: bacterial SSU rRNA
Rfam family: Bacterial small subunit ribosomal RNA
Source: RNAcentral